RNA transcript from Gossypium raimondii (Peruvian cotton), 4291 nucleotides. RefSeq lists it as uncharacterized. NCBI's taxonomy places the organism in Eukaryota, Viridiplantae, Streptophyta, Magnoliopsida, Malvales, Malvaceae. The record is from RefSeq and is a predicted model, not a curated record. The transcript is spliced from 6 exons.
CUCCCCCAUUUUCGACCUUUUUUCUCCCUUCUAUCUUCAUUCUUCCCCAAAGACGAAACGUAGCCGCCGCUCAAAGCCACCGUUGUCGCCGCCGUCUGGCCUCAGAUCCGCCGUAUUUUUACGCCGAAUUGAAGCUCAGCGUCUCCUAUUCCUUUCUAUCGGUGUAGAUUCCCUAAAAAUCAAUCCUCGGAAAGAGGCAAAACUGGAGUCUCGAGUUUCGAAGUGUCCUUAUUCCGAUCUCGGAAUCUGACCGUUGAAUCGGCCUGAGAUCGAGCUAUAUUCUUUUUCGCCUCAAGCGCUACUCGCUGACCGUUCGGAUCGGUCAAAAAAUACCCUCCUGGCCGAUUUUUAGGCACUUAACCUGUUGAAGACUUGAGUUUUAUACUGAUCUGUCUUGCUAAAUAUCUGACAAGAUUGGAGGAACCAAAUUAACUAGCCGUAUUUGUACUUGCACCGGGAGCUUCUCUUCUACACUGGUGUCAAGUAGUAAGCCAGAAGCCACGGCAUCCUGCCAGAUUUGUUGUGGUAGACCAUUAGUUGAUGGAAUAGAGUCUGUAUCUUCAGGCAUGAUGAGCACAGUAGGCCUGGAACUCACAAGUUUUAUAGAUCCCGAUUGGACUUGGAAGACUGUUUCAAAGAGGAAUAGGAGUGCAACAAGGCGUAGUAGGAAACUGGUAGCUGAUAGCUUGACAUUUGGAAAGGGUCUAGCUGAUAAAAAUGCCAGAACACUGGAGGAUGUUUCGGUUUCAGAGUCAGAGAAGGUUGGUGUGGAUGUUUUAGGACGGCGCUUUAGUGAAAAAGUAGAGAAUGUUCCAAUUAAGAAAAGGAGAUUUAUGUUCCAGUCUUCGUCACCCCCACCCCCAUCGACUCCUAAUCCGCACCUGGAAGCCUCUGCACAGCAUGUAGAUUUUCAACCUGCUCCAGAUCAGGAUUCUGGUUCAGGUGCUGUGCAGGGGCAACAGCUCAGAAAAUCUGAUUGUUCUGCCAAGUCGUUUGUCUCUAGUAUCGAUGUUGAGAAGAUUUCAGAGGUAAUAAAUGGUGUAGAUGAUUUCUCAGGGAUUGAAAUACUUGCAGCUGCUGCUUGCAGUGAUAGCAUUUGUAAUGAAGUUACUGAAAAUGAGGGAAAUCCAUUAGUAGAAGAACCAACGCAGGAGAAAAUUCAGUUUUCUGCUUCUUCAAUUCAUUUGGAAGAAACUACUGCAUCAUUGGAGGUGGCGUGCAGCUUUCCAAAAGAAUCGGUAAAUGAAAGUAAGUCUGAGGGUUCAUCUUCCCAGGACAAUUCCUUUGCUGUUUUGCGUGAAUUUCCUAGUGACAAGGAUACAACACCAGAAAGUUCUGUUCCAUUGCCAGAUGAUAGGUUACUCUGGGAUUUAAAUGUUUCAAUGGAUGCUUGGCCUUGUGAUGGUGGGAAUGUUGAUUCUAAAAAGGAUUCUAUUGAUGAUAUUUCUGUGAGAAGUGAAGAGUUGCAGACUAAGGAACCUCAUGAUAUAAAAAAUGAUGCUACAAACACAGUGGUUGCAUCUGAUGUUGGUGGGGGUAAUAAGAUGACUUCAGACUCAAGAACCAUGCCUUUUGGGACUGAUGAUUCGAGUACAGAGAAACAGGAAUCUCAAGGAUGCUCUGGUUAUGAUUCUCAAAAGGAUUCUUUUGAUAAUAUUUCUGUGGGAAGUGAAGAGUCGCCUGCUAAAGAACCUCAAGAUGUAAAAAAUGGUACUACAAAUGAAGUGGUUUCAUCUGAUGUUGAUGGUACAACAAAUGAAGUGAUUUCAUCUGAUGUUGAUGGUACUACGAAUGAAGUGGUUUCAUCUGAUGUUGGUGGGGGUAAUAGGAUGACUUCAGACAUCAGAACUGUGCCUGUUGAGACUGAUGACUUGAGUACAGAGAAACAGGAAUCUCAAGGAUGCUCUAGCUAUGAUUCUCCAAAGGAUUCUUUUGAUACUAUUUCUGUGAGAAGUGAAGAGUUGCAGGCUAAGGAACCUCAGGAUAUAAAAGAUGAUAAUACGAAUGAUGUGGUUUCACCUGAUGUUGAUGGGGGUAAUAGGAUGACUUCAGAUUUGAGAACUUUGCCUGUUGAGACUGAUGACUUGAAUGGAGAGAAACAGGACACUGAAGGAUGCUCUGGUUAUGAUUCACAAUUUGAGGAUGGGGAGUUGAGGGAAUCAGAUGUUCAAUGUUGGGAGGAAGCGGAACAGGUGGAUUAUGACACUGAAUUUGAGGAAGAAAGAUCAUUUGGCUUGGAAGCUGAGAGUGGUGAGCAGGAACUAAAGGUAGAAAGAGGAUCAAAUCCGGAACUAACUGGCAGUUUUAAAUGUUACGAAGCAAGAGAGAGUUUGAGGAAAAAUUCAGUGAGCUUGAAGAUUGGAACUGUGGAAGUUUCCGAUGGUGAGACUAUGAAAAUUGAUUGCUUGGAUAGGUCUAAUUAUGAUCUUAGAGUAGAUUUAUCCAAGGUAUCAAAAAGGGAAAUACUUUCAUGUGUUGAAGGAUCAUUGUCCACUGAUGUUAGAAGCAGGUUUGACAAUUUUAAUGGUUUGUAUCCUCGAGCUGAAAGAGGCUCUGGUUCUGACAGAUUUGUUGGGUGUGAUGGAUCUUCUUCACAUAUGCGUGUCAGAAGCCCAGGAGGUGCUCAUUUUUUCAAUCCUUCAGCUAAUUAUCGGGAUUCUAAGCGGCAGGAUCCAUCUAUUUAUCAUGGCCCUUACGGUUUUGGGCGCCCCAGACCGAAAAGUGCUUUUGACAACCGAGAAUAUCCCAUGGGUGCAGACCAAGCACCUUCGGAAGCUGCUGGUGUUCCAAGAACUGACCACCGCAUUACCCGGCAAUUUACGGGCUCUAACAGGUCAUUGCUUAGAAGGAGAUCACCAAUUGAAAGGGCUGAUUCUUACGGUAUGUUUCCAAGGAUGCCAAACGUAAGAGAUACUAGUCCUGAUCGGAACAGGUUUAGAAGAUAUCCGCAAGGAGUUAGUAGAGGCAUCAGAGAUCAAUAUCUCAGGCAUAUUCCUGAUGACAGCUCACGGUACGAGAGUCGCAUGCCACAUUGUAUAGACAGGAGAGAAAGAAGCAUUUCCCCCCAUGGCGGAAGACCUCACCAUACUGUACCUUACAAGAGAGCUCGAUCAAGAUCAAGGAGCCGCUCUCCCAUUGAUUGGUUAUUGCACAGGGAUCGAAAUGAGGGUUCAAGACGUCGCAACAGGUCACCCGAUUUUAGGUCUGAUGCUAGAAUAGAUAGGGUGAGGCUGCCAUUUGCAAAGCGAUUCGCUGCAGGUUACGGAGAGUUCAUAUCCUCACCACGAAGUCGUGUUUCACCGCAACGAAAUUCCAAGAUCUUUGAGGAUCGUAGUAAUCCUGGUUUAGACCAUUUUAGGGAACGAAAAUCACACAUGAGAAUGAUUCAACAAGAUCAAAGGUUUGAUCAAGUCCGCCCCUUUCGGAGAUUAAAUUCACACGACUACUUCAACCCCAUGAUUCGACCUAGAAGAUUUCCCGAUAGGACUACUGGUGGUAAAGGGUGUAAAUAUGAAACCAGUGAUGAUGGUAAACAUAGUAGCAGAUAUCCAAUGAUUCAUCGAGUGAGGUGUUACGAUACAGAUGGUGGAGCCCGUCGGUUUCGUUAUAACGAAGAAGAUUCAUACAUGGCUAAGAACUCUUUAACCGUGACUAAUUCAACCGGGGUCUCAUCUAGACGCCCCGAUGAUGCUGAUGCACCUAGGACAGCCAGUGAUGAUAGGUGAAUUUAAGAUUAUAUGCACAACUGUGACAGGAUUUGGCUGGAAAAAAGGGAGAUGUGAAACCUUUUAAGAGACACUACGUUUUGGAGAUUGCAACUAAAAUCAAAUAUGGUUACAGAUUAAACAAAGAUGGUAAUAACAAGCACAAGCCAAUGGGCUAAACUUCAGUUCAAGCCAUGACGAAACCAGUCCCUGCAGCUGAGAAAAACAACAUAAUUAAAUACAUUCAAAAAGGAGGUAACUCAAUUGAAUUUGGUUAAUUAAUCUGAUUGACCGGUUCACAGAUUAACCGAGUUCUAUUUCAAAACUCAAGAUUUUGACGGAUUUUCAGUCCAAUUGAUGGUUCUGAAUCCUAAAACAGUGCAACGAGCUCAGAGAAAUAAUGUUUGUCCAAAUUGGGCAGUUCACCGAAGGCACCUAUUGCAGAAAGCUAGAAUUUUUUAUGUACAUUUAUGGCUCAUAAAUUUGGGUGAGAGCUUAAUCUAAAAGAUUUAGUGAAUUUUUAAUGGACUUAUUCAUACAAAUUUUAUUUAGGCAUAAAGAUAAAUUAAGAUUAUAACUUUAACUCA